Molecule: ribosomal RNA, 134 nt
Filed under: uncultured eukaryote
Lineage: Eukaryota
Description: partial small subunit ribosomal RNA
Rfam family: Eukaryotic small subunit ribosomal RNA
Source: RNAcentral
CCCUGCCAUUUGUACACACCGCCCGUCGCUCCUACCGAUUUUGAGUGAUUAGGUAAACCUUCUGGAUCAUGGCAGUCUUCAAGGCUGCUAUGAGAAGUUAAGUAAAUCAUUAUCACUUAGAGGAAGGAGAAGUC